Molecule: long non-coding RNA, 369 nt
Organism: Physella acuta
Lineage: Eukaryota; Metazoa; Mollusca; Gastropoda; Physidae
Source: RefSeq, a predicted model, not a curated record
CGAGGACUGUGUUAUAUAAACAGUGACUAGACCUCAUGUGAUCACAAGACACUUUCAAGACAUCCAGUUUACAAUUCUUGUGCUGCCUAAUAUACCCUGUGAAAAUGAAAUCUGUAUGUGUGGUCUUCAUGUUCCUGUUCCUCUCUGCUGUCUUUGCUGACCAGAGAGCCGCUGGACCACAGGACGUUGACCAGCCGGUAGAAAGAAAUCUGGAUACCAGACAAGUUCUGGAAUGUGAUACCUACACUCUACCACCAAACUAUCCCCCCUCUCUGUACAAGUGUCGUCCCCGUUUAUAAAUGAGAGUGUUGUCAAAUAUCUAAUCCGUCAAUGUCAAAACUUUGAUUAAAAUAAACAUUUAAAAUGCAA